CCCUUAGAUGUCCUGGGCCGAACGCGCGCUACACUGAGUGUCUGAGAUACGAGUCUGCCUGGUCCGGCAAGGUCUAGGUAAUCGCUAAAAGACACAUCAUGCUUGGGAUAGAUUAUUGCAAAUAUUAAUCUUGAACGAGGAAUUCCUAGUAAGCGCAAGUCAACAGCUUGCGUUGAUUACGUCCCUGCCCUUUGUACACACCGCCCGUCGCUACUACUGAUUGGAUGUUUAAGCGAGGUUCUCGAACUGCUAGCGACUUAGCUUCGGUGAGGUCGCAGUGUGGGAAGUGAACCUAGCUUUGGUGUCUAGAGGAAGUAAAAGUCGUAACA
RNAcentral lists this ribosomal RNA (329 nucleotides) under uncultured eukaryote. RNAcentral describes it as "partial 18S ribosomal RNA". It matches the Rfam family "Eukaryotic small subunit ribosomal RNA", at positions 1470 to 1796 of the family's 1831-position model. The record is from RNAcentral.